AGGACGAACGCUGGCGGCGUGCUUAACACAUGCAAGUCGAGCGGUAAGGCCCUUCGGGGUACACGAGCGGCGAACGGGUGAGUAACACGUGGGUAACCUGCCCUGUACUUUGGGAUAAGCCCGGGAAACUGGGUCUAAUACCGGAUACGACUCCUCCACGCAUGUGGUGGGGUGGAAAGUUCUGGCGGUACAGGAUGGGCCCGCGGCCUAUCAGCUUGUUGGUGGGGUGAUGGCCUACCAAGGCGACGACGGGUAGCCGGCCUGAGAGGGCGACCGGCCACACUGGGACUGAGACACGGCCCAGACUCCUACGGGAGGCAGCAGUGGGGAAUCUUGCACAAUGGGCGAAAGCCUGAUGCAGCGACGCCGCGUGAGGGAUGACGGCCUUCGGGUUGUAACCUCUUCGACCGGGACGAAGCGAGAGUGACGGUACCGGUAGAAGAAGCACCGGCUAACUACGCGCCAGCACGCCGC
This 474-nucleotide ribosomal RNA is filed under the name uncultured bacterium. Its description in RNAcentral is "SSU rRNA". It matches the Rfam family "Bacterial small subunit ribosomal RNA", at positions 26 to 518 of the family's 1533-position model. The record is from RNAcentral.